This 61-nucleotide transfer RNA is filed under the name Olidiana ritcheri. Its description in RNAcentral is "tRNA-Val". Lineage: Eukaryota; Metazoa; Arthropoda; Insecta; Hemiptera; Cicadellidae. The record is from RNAcentral.
CAGAAUGUAGCUUAUUUAAAGUUUACUAGUUACAUUUGUAAGAAGAUUUACUCCUUUCUGA